This 540-nucleotide ribosomal RNA is filed under the name Myxotrichum sp. RNAcentral describes it as "partial large subunit ribosomal RNA". It matches the Rfam family "Eukaryotic large subunit ribosomal RNA", at positions 101 to 657 of the family's 3401-position model. Lineage: Eukaryota; Fungi; Ascomycota; Leotiomycetes; Myxotrichaceae. The record is from RNAcentral.
GGCACAGCUCAAUUUGAAAUCUGGCCCCCUCGGGGCCCGAGUUGUAAUUUGGAGAAGAUGCUUCGGGUGUGGCCCCGGCCUAAGUUCCUUGGAACAGGACGUCACAGAGGGUGAGAAUCCCGUACGUGGCCGGUGGCCGCCCCCGUGUGAAGCUCUUUCGACGAGUCGAGUUGUUUGGGAAUGCAGCUCAAAAUGGGUGGUAAAUUUCAUCUAAAGCUAAAUAUGGGCCAGAGACCGAUAGCGCACAAGUAGAGUGAUCGAAAGAUGAAAAGCACUUUGGAAAGAGAGUUAAACAGUACGUGAAAUUGUUGAAAGGGAAGCGCUGGCAACCAGACUUGCGCGCGGGCGAUCAUCCGGUGUUCUCACCGGUGCACUCGCCCGCGCGCAGGCCAGCAUCGGUUUGGGCGGCUGGACAAAGGCCCUAGGAACGUGACCCCCUUCGGGGGGUGUUAUAGCCUAGGGCGCAAUGCAGCCCGCCCGGACCGAGGACCGCGCUCCGGCUAGGAUGCUGGCGUAAUGGUUGUCAGCGACCCGUCUUGA